UACGUAGGGUGCGCGCGUUGUCCGGAAUUAUUGGGCGUAAAGAGCUCGUAGGCGGUGUGUCACGUCGGCCGUGAAAACCUGCAGCUUAACUGUGGGCGUGCGGUCGAUACGGGCAUCACUGGAGUUCGGCAGGGGAGACUGGAAUUCCUGGUGUAGCGGUGAAAUGCAUAGAUAUCAGGAGGAACACCAGCGGCGAAGGCGGCACUCUGGGCUGGAACUGACGCUGAGGAGCGAAAGCGUGGGGAGCGAACAGG
Molecule: ribosomal RNA, 254 nt
Filed under: uncultured bacterium
Lineage: Bacteria
Description: partial 16S ribosomal RNA
Rfam family: Bacterial small subunit ribosomal RNA
Source: RNAcentral